GGUCAAGGGAGAAAGGGCUAAGGGUGGAUGCCUUGGCACCAGUGUGCGAAGAAGGACGUGAAAAGCUGCGAAAAGCGUCGGGGAGUCGCAAAUGGCGUAGAUCCGGCGAUAUCCGAAUGGGGCAACCCGGCCAGGGUCAUGCCUGGUCAUCCCUGUUAAGGGAGGCGCACCCGGGGAAUUGAAACAUCUUAGUACCCGGAGGAAAAGAAAUCAAAUGAGAUUCCCCGAGUAGUGGCGAGCGAAAAGGGAAUAGCCCAAACCGGUGGGCAUGCUCACCGGGGUUGUAGGACUCCUGUAAGCAUCAUGGAAUCUAGCAGAACGGUUCUGGGAAGGCCGGCCGUAGAGGGUGAAAGCCCCGUAUGCGAAAGAGGAAGUGAGCGAGGAGUAUCCUGAGUAGCACGGAAUUCGUGGAGUUCUGUGUGAAGCUGGGGGGACCACCCUCCAAGGCUAAAUAACACUGGUGACCGAUAGUGGACGAGUACCGUGAGGGAAAGGCGAAAAGAACCCCUGAUAGGGGAGUGAAAUAGAACCUGAAAUCCUUAGCCUACAAGCUGUAGGAGCCCGCGAGGGUGACUGCGUGCCUAUUGAAGAAUGAGCCUGCGAGUUACAGGUAGUUGCGAGGUUAAUCCCUGAAGGGGAGUAGCCGAAGCGAAAGCGAGUCUGAAUAGGGCGUCUAGUAGCUAUCUGUAGACCCGAAGCCGCGUGAGCUAACCAUGGGCAGAAUGAAGUCUCGGUAACACGGGAUGGAGGUUCGAACCGGUAGGCGUUGAAAAGUCUUCGGAUGACCUGUGGUUAGGAGUGAAAGGCCAAACGAACGUGGCGAUAGCUGGUUCUUCCCGAAAAGUAUUUAGGUGCUGCCCUGUGUGGCAAGUGCUGGGGGUAGAGCGCUGGAUCGGGAAGGGGGAUUUAUCCUACCGACCCGAACCAAACUACGAAUACCGCACCCGAGGCACAGGAGUAAGAAUAUGGGGAUAAGCUCCAUAUUCGAGAGGGAAACAGCCCAGAUCGUCGGCUAAGGUCCCCAAAUACCGCUAAGUGGAUAAGGAAGUGGAAUGACCGAGACAGCCAGGAGGUUGGCUUAGAAGCAGCCAUCCUUUAAAGAGUGCGUAAUAGCUCACUGGUCGAGUUAUUUUGCGCCAAAAAUGUACGGGGCUAAGCGGUAUACCGAAGCCACGAACUCGGAAGAGUGGUAGGGAAGCGUUCUACGAGCGACGAAGGUUUACCGUGAGGUAAGCUGGAGCGAGUAGAAGUGAGAAUGCAGGCAUGAGUACACGAUAAAACGGGUAAAAAACCCGUUCGCCGAAAGCACAAGGGUUCCUGGGCUACGAUAUUCGACCCAGGGUUAGCCGGCCCCUAAGGUGAGGCCGAAAGGCGUAGCUGAUGGGAAUACGGUUGAUAUUCCGUAGCCACCUGUUGGAGUGAUGGGGUGACGCCCUGCAUAGAGCCAUGCGGACUGACGGAUGUUCGUCGAAGCCAUUGAGGCUGGUGUGAGUGAAAUGCUUGCGCCGCAAAGCCAAGUGGUGAGCGAUCCUUCUUUCGGGGAGGAGAAGAUGGCCGAGUGUAGGGCCGAGAAAGAGCCUCUAAGCGAUGAAGACAGGUGACCGUACCAAAACCGACACAGGUGUGCGGGGUGAAUAACCUAAGGCGCUCGAGAUAACUCUCGCUAAGGAACUCUGCAAAAUAGCCCCGUAACUUCGGGAGAAGGGGUGCCUGCGAAAGCAGGUCGCAGUAAAGAGGCUCAGGCGACUGUUUACCAAAAACACAAGACUCUGCAAACUCGUAAGAGGAGGUAUAGGGUCUGAAACCUGCCCAGUGCCGGAAGGUCAAGAGGAGGUGUUAGCUGAUGAGGCGAAGCAUCGAAUCUAAGCCCCGGUAAACGGCGGCCGUAACUAUAACGGUCCUAAGGUAGCGAAAUUCCUUGUCGGGUAAGUUCCGACCCGCAUGAAUGGUCCAACGAUCUGAGCGCUGUCUCAGCGAGAGGCUCGGUGAAAUUGUAUGCUCGGUGAAGAUACCGAGUACCUACGGCAGGACAGAAAGACCCCGUGGACCUUUACUACAACUUGGCGUUGAAAUUUGGUUUACCAUGCGCAGGAUAGGUAGGAGGCUGUGAAGUGGGUGCUCUGGUGCUCAUGGAGCCGACCUUGAGAUACUACCCUUGGUGAAUUGGAUUUCUAACUCUCGCCUUGCAAUCGGGGUGGAGGACAGCGUCUGGUGGGUAGUUUGACUGGGGCGGUCGCCUCCUAAAGGGUAACGGAGGCGCCCAAAGGUUCCCUCAGCAUGGUUGGAAAUCAUGCAGAGUGUAAAGGCAGAAGGGAGCUUGACUGUGAGGCCGACGGGCCGAGCAGGGACGAAAGUCGGGCUUAGUGAUCCGUGGUUGCGCGGAAAUGCCAUCGCUCAACGGAUAAAAGGUACCCCGGGGAUAACAGGCUGAUCUUCCCCAAGAGUUCAUAUCGACGGGAAGGUUUGGCACCUCGAUGUCGACUCAUCGCAUCCUGGGGCUGGAGAAGGUCCCAAGGGUUGGUCUGUUCGCCCAUUAAAGCGGUACGUGAGUUGGGUUCAAUACGUCGUAAGACAGUAUGGUCCCUAUCCGCCGUAGGCGUUUGGGCACUUGAGGGGAGCUGCUCCUAGUACGAGAGGACCGGAGUGGACGAACCGCUAGUGUACCUGUUGUCACGCCAGUGGCAUAAGCAGGGUAGCUAUGUUCGGAAGAGAUAACCGCUGAAAGCAUCUAAGCGGGAAACUCGCCCCAAGAUGAGGUGCUCCUUAUGGUCCGUGGAAGACUACCACGUUGAUAGGCUACAGGUGUAAGCGCAGUAAUGCGUUGAGCCGAGUAGUACUAAUCGGCCAUUAGCCUUGACCUU
This 2861-nucleotide ribosomal RNA is filed under the name Thermospira aquatica. RNAcentral describes it as "Spirochaetales bacterium F1F22 23S ribosomal RNA". It matches the Rfam family "Bacterial large subunit ribosomal RNA". Lineage: Bacteria; Pseudomonadati; Spirochaetota; Spirochaetia; Brevinematales; Thermospiraceae. The record is from RNAcentral.